RNAcentral lists this transfer RNA (75 nucleotides) under Pyrinomonadaceae bacterium. RNAcentral describes it as "tRNA-Met". It matches the Rfam family "tRNA". From Rfam's summary of the family: Transfer RNA (tRNA) molecules are approximately 80 nucleotides in length. Their secondary structure includes four short double-helical elements and three loops (D, anti-codon, and T loops). Lineage: Bacteria; Pseudomonadati; Acidobacteriota; Blastocatellia; Blastocatellales; Pyrinomonadaceae. The record is from RNAcentral.
UGCGGAGUAGCUCAGGUGGACCAGAGCGCUGGCCUCAUAAGCCAGAAGUCGCGAGUUCGAAUUUCGCCUCCGCAA